This 253-nucleotide ribosomal RNA is filed under the name uncultured bacterium. Its description in RNAcentral is "partial 16S ribosomal RNA". It matches the Rfam family "Bacterial small subunit ribosomal RNA", at positions 524 to 776 of the family's 1533-position model. The record is from RNAcentral.
UACGUAGGGUGCAAGCGUUAAUCGGAAUUACUGGGCGUAAAGCGUGCGCAGGCGGUUGUGCAAGACAGAUGUGAAAUCCCCGGGCUUAACCUGGGAAUUGCAUUUGUGACUGCACGGCUAGAGUGUGUCAGAGGGAGGUAGAAUUCCACGUGUAGCAGUGAAAUGCGUAGAUAUGUGGAGGAAUACCGAUGGCGAAGGCAGCCUCCUGGGAUAACACUGACGCUCAUGCACGAAAGCGUGGGGAGCAAACAGG